RNAcentral lists this ribosomal RNA (492 nucleotides) under uncultured bacterium. RNAcentral's name for it is "partial 16S ribosomal RNA". It matches the Rfam family "Bacterial small subunit ribosomal RNA", at positions 29 to 507 of the family's 1533-position model. The record is from RNAcentral.
AGUGAACGCUGGCGGUAGGCCUAACACAUGCAAGUCGAACGGCAGCACAGUAAGAGCUUGCUCUUACGGGUGGCGAGUGGCAGACGGGUGAGGAAUACAUCGGAAUCUACUUUUUCGUGGGGGAUAACGUAGGGAAACUUACGCUAAUACCGCAUACGACCUACGGGUGAAAGCAGGGGAUCUUCGGACCUUGCGCGAUUGAAUGAGCCGAUGUCGGAUUAGCUAGUUGGCGGGGUAAAGGCCCACCAAGGCGACGAUCCGUAGCUGGUCUGAGAGGAUGAUCAGCCACACUGGAACUGAGACACGGUCCAGACUCCUACGGGAGGCAGCAGUGGGGAAUAUUGGACAAUGGGCGCAAGCCUGAUCCAGCCAUACCGCGUGGGUGAAGAAGGCCUUCGGGUUGUAAAGCCCUUUCGUUGGGAAAGAAAAGCAGCAGGUUAAUACCCCGCUGUUCUGACGGUACCCAAAGAAUAAGCACCGGCUAACUUCGUG